GUAAACCCAGGCAGCCCUUAAACCCGCUGCCCGCCAGAGAAUUACAAGUGAAAAACCUGAAACUCAAAGGACUUGACGGUUUCCCACAUCAGCCUAGAGGAGCCUGUCCCGUAAUCGACGACCCACGUUAAACCUCACCCGCCCUUGCACCUACAGCCUAUAUACCGCCGUCCCCAGCCAACCUUGUAAAAGAACUAGUAGUUGGCCCAACAGCCCACGCUAAGACAUCAGGUCAAGGUGUAGCUUAUGAACGGGAGAGGAUGGGCUACAUUUUCUACCCUAGAACCCCCCGACCAGCGCCAUGAAAACUGCGCCAGAAGUUGGAUUUAGCAGUAAACCAAACAAGACAUGUCUGGUUGAACAAUG
This 366-nucleotide ribosomal RNA is filed under the name Hemidactylus karenorum. RNAcentral describes it as "partial 12S ribosomal RNA". It matches the Rfam family "Bacterial small subunit ribosomal RNA", at positions 801 to 1371 of the family's 1533-position model. Lineage: Eukaryota; Metazoa; Chordata; Lepidosauria; Squamata; Gekkonidae. The record is from RNAcentral.